This 429-nucleotide ribosomal RNA is filed under the name uncultured bacterium. RNAcentral's name for it is "bacterial SSU rRNA". It matches the Rfam family "Bacterial small subunit ribosomal RNA", at positions 355 to 776 of the family's 1533-position model. The record is from RNAcentral.
UAGGGAAUAUUGGGCAAUGGGCGCAAGCCUGACCCAGCCAUGCCGCGUGGAGGAUGAAGGCCUUCGGGUCGUAAACUCCUUUUCUGAGGGAAGAAUAGCCUGUGCAGGAAAUGGUAUGGGUAUGACGGUACCUCAGGAAUAAGCAACGGCCAACUCCGUGCCAGCAGCCGCGGUAAUACGGAGGUUGCAAGCGUUGUUCGGAAUUACUGGGCGUAAAGGGAGCGCAGGCGGCCAAGUCAGUCUGAAGUGAAAUCCCGGGGCUUAACCUCGGAAGUGCUUUGGAUACUACUUGGCUAGAGUACGUGAGAGGUGAGCGGAAUUCCAGGUGUAGCGGUGAAAUGCGUAGAUAUCUGGAGGAACACCCGUGGCGAAAGCGGCUCACUGGCGCGUAACUGACGCUGAGGCUCGAAAGCGUGGGGAGCAAACGGG